Molecule: long non-coding RNA, 2857 nt
Organism: Tympanuchus pallidicinctus (lesser prairie-chicken)
Lineage: Eukaryota; Metazoa; Chordata; Aves; Galliformes; Phasianidae
Exons: 2
Source: RefSeq, a predicted model, not a curated record
GCGGCCGCGUCUGGGUUCGUUUGUUUAGUUUUGGUAGGACUUUAAGGCCAGCAGCGCUCGCUUCUUCGGAGUCGGCGCUGUUUCUGCGGUAGUACAUCAGGAGUUUGUACUUGGUUAUCCGCAGCGGUAUCCCGGUGCUUUCAGUCUCGCGUCGUUUCGCCAGCCUGGCGCAGUGCUUCAGUCCUGCAGUCACUGCUCUGUGUGGUUUGCCCGUCCCAUCCGCUUCAUGGCUCCCAGUCACCUUUUGUGGGUCAGUUCACUCCUGCGGUUGUGAUACUGGUACGUGCAUCUUCUCAACCAAAGCAAGCAGACAAACGAUGCGUGAAAGCAAAACGGGCCUACAGAUACGAAGUGAAAGUGAGUGCAGUAGUGUUGCAAAUCUCCGUUCAGGCUGUGUUUGUAUUGGCAGUGACGCGAGAGAGGGUUAGUGGUCUUAUUUAAUGUUAAGGGGCUUCUGAAAGGGCAUUGUUUUCACUGCUGUGAUGCGUUGCGAUAAAGGAACAAUGGGAUUUGUCAUGCGGACUGCAGGGGAAAACGAGAAGAGAGCAAACUGCCAAGGGGCUCCUUGAUGUCUGACUCCCUCAACAGGAGUGCCUGGGAGGCUGCUCCUAAGUGGUUCCAUGGUGUAAUGGUUAGCACUCUGGACUCUGAAUCCAGCGAUCCGAGUUCAAAUCUCGGUGGAACCUGAGAGUUUUUGUCCGGGAGGACAUUUGGCGAACGGCCGCCAACGUGGGGAAGUUGGGUGAUUCGUUGGCUUUUGGAGUGCUGUGAGUUACUGACCUGUGCUGCUGAAAUCAGGCGUAAAGGGGAAUAGAAAAGCGAGAGAGUCUUCUCAGUUUUUUCGUCUGUUUUUUUCUUUGCGUGUAUUUUUUGCAUCUAAGUUACUGCAUCGCUACGUGCCUUAUCUGUGUAAUUUCAGACCUGCUGCAGUGUGCUAAAGUGUAACUAGUUCCUUUCUGUGCGAUGAGCAACCCGCGUGAAAGAAGCAACUCGGUGCCAGCAGAACACGAGGCCGCCUGCUGAGCUCCGCAGCCCCUCCUGCUGUUCGCUUCACAUGUUUGAAAGCAGCAAUUUUCCUGCGCUGUUUCUCCCGGCAACCUCUGCCGCGUCCUGCAGUUAAUAGUUCAGCUGUCGUCAUCCUGUGUCGGACAUCGAAUAGGAGCAGAGAGGCAGAAGGCGAGCGGUUGGGCUGCCAUCAACGCUCUGUUCAGCGGUCGGUCGUGGUGGGGAGUUUUACUGCUGAGCAUGGAUGGUAAUUUAUUAUGCAGCACAGCAGAGGCGAGUGCCACCGUGCGGUUCUAUGGUGUAAUGGUUAGCACUCUGGACUUUGAAUCCAGCGAUCCGAGUUCAAAUCUCGGUAGAACCUGGUGAAGAGGGGUCACUUUUUCACGGCGGCGCAGAGAUUCCUGAAGGAGGAGCGCGUCCGAGGAGCCCUGAAAGCGCUGAGAGCCCGGGGGGGGGGGGGGGGGGGGAGCCUUUCCGUGGUGCCACCUGCAGUGCUGCUCUGUGUGUCUGAAAGGGGGCGAUGCAAGACGCGUGCUUUUGACAACACGAACAGGGAAGAUUUUGAUUUCCAAAUAGUUCUUACCCAAACUUAAUCAGGUCUUUCAUUAUUUUGCUAAUUCGGUACAUCUGGCUGUGGCCUCGCGUUGUACUCUGUGCAACUUCAGUAGUUUUACCUCUGCUUUGCUGCCACAAACCUUAUUUACUUCUAAGUGCCUAAGGAUGGCUCAAUUUCCCAGUACCUCCUCAGCAGCUGUCCCUGCUUGCUUACAAACGGGAUUCAGCCCUGCUCUGUUCCGUUCUGAAGAUCAGCUCAACCCUCUUUUACUUCCAGGUAACUAUCCACUCCCUUACUGUCCAUUGGAGAAAUGCAGACCGCCUCCACAGCUAGCCCUUACUUUAUGGAAUUCAGAAUCCUGCUUCAGAGAAUUAAUGAAAAUGUUUGCAAAAUUAAUUAAUUACAUCUUUGCCUGCCCUGCCGAUGCACAACAUCUCAAACUAACGUUGCACGCUGUAGCAGCACCCUGUUCUUUCAGCAGGGAUUGAUCCUGCUAUCCCAAGGUAGAUCUCUUUACUGCUCCUUGCGUGCUGGUGUUUUAAAUCAGUGCAACCAUCCAGCAGUGCAGACUUGCCCUAGCAGCACCAUCCUUCCCAGCUGAGAGCACUUCAGAGCCACUGGGUGCUCCUCUGCCUUGCAGUGAUGCACUGUGUGUAGUCAUAGAGAACACGUUACCAUUUCCAGCUGCUGCCCAGAAACUUGUUCCCUUCAGAGCACAGCUGGAAGCGUCUCUGUAAUCCCCAGCGCUCAUAAAGAGCUGAUGCAGUGUUGCUGUUACAGCCGCAUUCGUAUAAAUUCAAUCAUUGUAGAUUAGAACAAAGAGCACUUAAAGUCAAGUCCAAUUUUACAUGGAAUGAGACGUGAGUUCAUGAUCCAGUAUCAAGAUUUAUUAGGACGAUUCAUGGUCAUGCUCCAUUUGAACACAAAGCACUGCGGUUUCAGUAACUGAACAUUAUUAUCCAGAUGUAAUCCAGUUGAGACCGCUACGCACAAACAUGUUUGCCACUCUGUUUCUCUCCCUCUUCUUUACCUGCAGUGGAUAAACCAACACAAGGCUCUGUGGCUCAGGCAAACUUACUGGAAAAGGCAGAGCAAAAUUACUUUCCAACCCCUAGGAGCAGUCUCAGCACCAGGUACUGCGUAGCCCAAGGUACCUACUGCUCGAUGUGUUCAAGUCAGUAAUACCUCAAGGCAGCUUCCAAAUUAAAAUUUAGCAUUUCCAGUUACCCUCCCCCCAUCCCUUCAUUGUACUCCUUUCUAAAAAUCACCUGAAGGCAGAUCUCUCAGCACAACAUU